AAUCCCUGGCAACAGGCAAAGAGACACCUUCUUGGUGUUGUACUUAUAUCAGUCAGGGCCAGAGCACAUGGCACUCCUUUGUUCAUCCUAGCUUGAUGCCUGGCAUAGUGGCUAACACUAUUUUAUGCCUAGGACUCAUAA
This is a small nucleolar RNA of Arvicanthis niloticus (Nile rat), 141 nucleotides long. RefSeq annotates it as small nucleolar RNA SNORA48. NCBI's taxonomy places the organism in Eukaryota, Metazoa, Chordata, Mammalia, Rodentia, Muridae. The record is from RefSeq and is a predicted model, not a curated record.